Macaca fascicularis (crab-eating macaque) is the source of this 1591-nucleotide long non-coding RNA. Lineage: Eukaryota; Metazoa; Chordata; Mammalia; Primates; Cercopithecidae. The record is from Ensembl.
GACUGGCUUGAAACCAGUCCUAGGGGGUUCGACUCUCUCCUUUUUCGUUUAGUUUGAUAUAGGUUGGUUCUUCGAAUGUAUGGUAAGGUGGGGGGCAGCCAUUUAGUCAUUCUAGACUAGUAAGGGGUUGUUCGAUUAGUAGUACUUUACGUUUUAAAGCAAAGGCUUCUCAGAUCAUGUAGAUUAUUAAGAUUACUGCUACUAGUGAGAUGAAGGAGCCUAUAGAUGAUAGGAUGUUUCAUGUAGUGUAGGCAUCAGGAUAAUCAGAAUAGCGUCGGGGUAUUCCGGACAGGCCAAGGAAGUGUUGUGGAAAGAAAGUUAAAUUUACGCCCACGAAUAUGAUGAUAAAGUGGGCUUUGGCACAAGUUUGGUUUAGUGUAUAGCCUGAGAAUAAAGGAAAUCAAUGUAUAAAGCCUCCUAUAAUGGCAAAUACAGCCCCUAUUGAUAAAACAUAAUGGAAGUGGGCGACAACGUAGUAUGUGUCGUGUAGUACGAUAUCUAGGGAUGAGUUUGCCAAGAUAAUGCCGGUUAAACCUCCCACGGUAAAUAGGAAGAUAAAGCCCAGGGCUCAAAGUAUUGCUGGGGAUCAUUUAAUGUUGCCUCCAUGAAGUGUAGCGAGCCAGCUAAAAACUUUCACACCGGUGGGGAUUGCAAUGAUUAUAGUGGCGGAAGUGAAAUAGGCUCGUGUAUCUACGUCUAUGCCAACUGUAAAUAUGUGAUGGGCCCAUACAAUGAAACCUAAAAAUCCAAUUGAUAUUAUGGCUCAAACUAUACCCAUGUACCCAAACGGUUCUUUUUUUCCAGAGUAGUAGGCUACAAUGUGGGAGACUAUUCCAAAACCGGGAAGAAUGAGGAUGUAGACCUCAGGGUGACCAAAGAAUCAAAAUAGGUGUUGAUAUAGGAUAGGAUCUCCCCCUCCAACAGGAUCAAAGAAAGUAGUGUUGAGAUUGCGAUCUGUUAGCAGUAUAGUAAUGCCAGCGGCUAAGACUGGUAGAGAGAGGAGUAGAAGGAUUGCUGUGAUUAAGAUUGAUCAGACAAAUAAAGGGGUUUGAUACUGGGAUAUUGCGGGGGGUUUUAUGUUGAUGAUAGUGGUGAUAAAGUUGAUGGCUCCUAAGAUAGAGGAAAUACCUGCUAGGUGGAGGGAGAAGAUGAUUAAAUCUACGGAAGCUCCUGGGUGGGAGAAGUUUCCUGCUAAAGGGGGGUAUACUGUUCAACCUGUUCCAACGCCAGCUUCUACUACGGCUGAUGCCAUUAGUAGCAGGAAAGAGGGAGGGAGAAGUCAGAAGCUUAUAUUAUUUAGACGGGGAAAUGCUAUGUCGGGUGCGCCGAUUAUUAAGGGCACUAGUCAGUUCCUGAAGCCUCCAAUUAUAAUAGGUAUGACUGUAAAGAAAAUUAUAAUGAAUGCAUGGGCCGUUACAAUAACGUUGUAGAUGUGGUCGUUACCUAGUAGGUUGCCAGGUUGACCUAGUUCAGCUCGAAUGAGAAGGCUCAGGGCUGUACCUAUGACUCCAGCUCAUGCACCAAAUAGUAAGUACAGGGUUCCAAUGUCUUUAUGGUUUGUUGAAAAGAGUCAACGGUUGAUGAGCAUAAG